CAUAGAGUAGUUUAGAUCAGAAUUCUAGCUUUGGGAGUUAGGGGUGGAAGUUAGAAUCUUUCCUCUUUGA
This 70-nucleotide transfer RNA is filed under the name Notothenia angustata (Maori chief). Its description in RNAcentral is "tRNA-Pro". It matches the Rfam family "tRNA". Rfam says of the family: Transfer RNA (tRNA) molecules are approximately 80 nucleotides in length. Their secondary structure includes four short double-helical elements and three loops (D, anti-codon, and T loops). Lineage: Eukaryota; Metazoa; Chordata; Actinopteri; Perciformes; Nototheniidae. The record is from RNAcentral.